GUAUUUGUUUUGCCAUUGCUAGCGGUUACAUUCUGUUAUACUUUAAGUGUUUGUAAGUAGAGGUGUCACCCCGGCCUCACCUCUCGUCCUCCCAGAGGGAGGUCAAAAGGGAAGCUGCUCCAAAUUGGAGGGCAGCACCUCAAUGGUUCACAGGUGUAGAGUGGAUUGAGCGGGGCGAGCACAUGCCUCGAAAGGCCAGCAUCAAACCCACAUCAAAACUCGAUAAUGAUCCUUCCGCAGGUUCACCUACGGAAA
This 255-nucleotide unclassified non-coding RNA is filed under the name uncultured fungus. Its description in RNAcentral is "sequence contains ITS1". Lineage: Eukaryota; Fungi. The record is from RNAcentral.